GGAAUUUUCCGCAAUGGGCGAAAGCCUGACGGAGCAACGCCGCGUGAGGGAUGAAGGCCUCUGGGCUGUAAACCUCUUUUACCAAGGAAGAAGAUCUGACGGUACUUGAUGAAUAAGCCACGGCUAAUUCCGUGCCAGCAGCCGCGGUAAUACGGAGGAUGCAAGCGUUAUCCGGAAUUAUUGGGCGUAAAGCGUCUGUAGGUGGUUUGGUAAGUCUUGUGUUAAAUAUUAGGGCUUAACCCUAAAAAUGCAUCGGAAACUGCCAGACUUGAGUCCGGUGGAAGUAAAGGGAAUUCCCGGUGUAGCGGUGAAAUGCGUAGAUAUCGGGAAGAACACCAGUGGCGAAGGCGCUCUGCUGGGCCACAACUGACGCUCAUGGACGAAAGCCAGGGGAACGAAAGGGAUUAGAUACCCCAGUAGUC
RNAcentral lists this ribosomal RNA (422 nucleotides) under uncultured cyanobacterium. RNAcentral's name for it is "bacterial SSU rRNA". It matches the Rfam family "Bacterial small subunit ribosomal RNA", at positions 358 to 795 of the family's 1533-position model. The record is from RNAcentral. Lineage: Bacteria; Bacillati; Cyanobacteriota.